This is a long non-coding RNA of Ictalurus punctatus (channel catfish), 1555 nucleotides long. NCBI's taxonomy places the organism in Eukaryota, Metazoa, Chordata, Actinopteri, Siluriformes, Ictaluridae. The record is from Ensembl.
UUUUUUUUUUCCAAGUUUGAAGUUGAAAUCAGAUGCAGUUUGAAACGACGGGUUACGCCUGUGAUGUUCGUAGGAAAGCACAUCAUACUGUGAUAUAUUGCGUGAGAUUUAUGCUUUCAUAUGUAAUUUCUUCUGUCCGCGAAAGCACGGCGACGCGAUGCUCGGUGACGUUUCUGUACGGCACGGCGUGUGAUGAACUCGAUGAACCACGUUCGCAUUAAGGUGAAGUAAGUCGCUGGGGGAAGUCUAACGAGGAUGUUAUGAGGAUAAAUCUUAGCCGUAGUUUAUGGCGCAUGGCCGGAAGUCGUUUUAUUUUUAGCCUCCACCAGCAUUCGGACGUCUCCGCCUGCGGCGCAGGAGCGUGACGCCGCUGUCUGAUGGCGGUGUAUUGUGUUGCUGUCACACUGAUUGGCGUGUUACCCCUCUCUGCCCACUCUUACACUUUGACUCAGUGUGCCGUGGGAAAAGAACAAUGAAGCCUGUGGCCUGACGGUGUAAAGUAUGGAACAAGGAAACCGCGUGAGACAAAACUCCAGUUCACUGCAUCCUGCAAACAUUCUGUAAUGAAUGUAUAUCAAUGUUGUGUGUGUGUGUGUGAGAGGGUGAGGGGGGUGUGAGAGAGGGUGUGAGAGGGGUGUGAGAGGGGUGUGAGAGAGGGUGUGAGUGUGUAAGAGAGAGCGAGAGGGUGUGUGAGAGAGCGAGAGAGAAGGGUGUGUGUGAGAGAGAGAGAGAGAGAGAGAGAGAGAGAGAGAGAGAGUGGGGGGUGUGAAUCUGAGUGUGUGUGAGAGAGAGAGGGGGUGUGAGUGUGUAAGUGAGAAGGGGUGUGUGUGAGAAGAGAAGGGGUGAGUGUGAUAGAGAGAGGGUAGGGGGGUGUGAAUCUGAGUGUGUGUGAGAGAGAGAGAGAGAGGAGUGUGUGAGAGAGAGGGGGGGUGUGAAUCUGAGUGUGUGAAUCUGAGUGUGUGAGAGAGGGGGUGUGAGUGUGAUAGAGAGAGGGUGGUGUGUGAGAGAGAGGGGGUGAGGGGGGGAGAGGGUGUGUGUGAGAGAGAGAGAGGGGUGUGUGUGAGUGAGACAGAGGGGGUGUGUGAGUGAGAGAGGGUGUGUGUGUGAGAGAGAGGACGGGGUGUGUCCGUCAUAGUAACGCGACGCCGUGCUGUCGUCAUAGUAACGCGACGCCGUGCUGUCGUUUUCAUCGUGCUCACGUGAGCUUUUUUCUUUUUUCCAAAUGGUUUUCACGUGAUGGAGCGUUUCCUAUGUACCUCGAUGUUUUGGAAAACAGCGUGUGGUUUGUUUUGGGGUUUUUUGUGUUUUUUAAACACGCGGAUGGAGAUCAGGCCAGUGUGGAUGGGCGGGGCUGGGUGCGUGACUGAUUGCGCAAUCCUAAGACGUGUGAGCGGCGUUGUCUGUAAAAGACUCGGGGCUCCGUUUCUCCCUCGCUCUCCGCAGCUCCUCGUCCGUUAUCUUUACCGAGUCGGCGCUCGCAUCCGCGUUCUCGUCUGCGUACGAAUCCGAUAGUGACCGUCUUGUGUGUGUGUGUGUGUGUGUGUGUGUGUGUGUG